GUUCUCAGGUGCUUCUCAGGGUCCUAUUGUGGUCCAAGGACCACAAUAACCAGAGAGUUACUCCAAAAUCUUUUCUCAGCUUUUCAUAACUACUACGCUGAAAAUCUCCAAUUGCUGCAGCACUCAUGUUAAAAAGGUUCCAUAUCCACUGUUCACCCCAUGAAGUUUCUGAGGUUAUUACCUCUUCAUCUUCAUCAUAGAAUCAUGGAAUUGUUUGGGUUCCAACCCCCUGCCAGGAGCAGGGGCACCUUCCGCUAGAUCAGAUUGCUCAGAUCGGAGCCCCAUCCAACCUGGCCUCGAGCACAUCCAGGGAUGAGACAGCCACCAUUUGUGUGGACAAGCUGUUUCAGUACUUCACCACUCCCACAGAGAAGAUUUUCUUCCUAAUUUUUAAUAUAAACCUGCCUUCUUUCAGCUUAAAUAAUGCAGUACUUUGGGAUUCAAGCCAACAGUCAAGCACCAUGGACCCUGCUGUACACAUCACUGAUAGCCUGAGAUUGGCCACCUUGAAUCAAUUACAUGGGCAAAGAAAGAGUUUAUUGUCUGCAGAAGAAAAUCCUGUCUGAAAAUAAUUUCUUUCUAGAAUUGCCUAGAAUUGCACAUUCUUCCCUUCAAAACUCAUCUCAAGAGCAACUUACAAGGAGUUUUGCUUACACAAGUUGCUGUGCCAUAGGAGAAAUAUUGACUGGGAGACAGUACUGCAUCCAUUGUCUGUUGAGACUCAUGAAAGAUAAGUAAAUUAAUUCAGAAUUCCUCUUCUAUCCUGAUCCUGUCCUUACCACAAACUGUGGCAAAAAAAGGAGGGAUAACAAUAUAAAGUGGUCAUUUUCCCCUUGUAAUAGUGACUAAAGGAAAGAGGAAGAAAGGCAGGUGGGCUGUGACUAUACAUGGGAUAUCAUGGAUGGGACAGCACUGCCAAAUUAGAGGAAAAUCCUGCUAUUGGUAGAGGAGGAAGAAAGUAGAAACAGGAUACAGCCUGUGUCUCACUGCAACCUUUUCCUAACUUCUUGGGUCAUUUGUAGUGUUCACAGAUCUGUUCUUGAUGUAGCCCACAGUGACUUAUUUUAGAAGCUCUGCAGAAGGUUUGUAUAUGGUAUUAUAUCCAUAAUCAGAUCCUUCCACCUAUUAAACAAUAUACAUAUUAAAAAAACCCCUUUAUUUAUGUCUACUUUUAUGGCUAUUUUCUUCACUGACCUCCUUUGAUAUCAUCCUCUCAAAUAAAAAUUUUCCCACUAUUACUGUGAUCUGUAUUUGGCUGUGGUGGGUUCAAUGAGCCACUACUGGAGACAGAAAAUCAGUCUGAAGGUAGCUUCACAGGUGUACCAGCACCAACAAAAGAAAGUAAUGUGGCCUUCAAAUUUUUUAGGCUGAAGCACAUCUUUAGACAAAAAUCAGAAAAAUCUGCAGGAGACUUCCUACCAAAGUCAUCUGGAUAGACUGAAGUAGUUCAUGUCUCAAACAUUGAUAUGAAGUUUUGCUUAUAAUAACAAAAACUGUAUAAAGAAGCUACAACCAAAGAAGCCUCCCUGAAGAUACAUGACUGGGACUUUGGACUGAAAGUUGAACUGCUGAGGUUAGAUAAAAAGUAAACCCAUUCUCCAAUCAGCUGAAGCAAACAAUUCAACAAGGAAAAGAAUGUGAACCAAACCAGCCGCCGUGCUAAGAAUCAUCUCUGGCUUGCUUUGGGGUGGGGGAGGCCGUAGCCCACAGACCCCUUUGCUGGGAGCAGGUUUGCCCAGAUUUGACUCCAAGCAAGUGGGGGGAGGAAGUUUGGGUGUGUUGGAACCUCUGCUCAGGGGCAGGGAACCCAUCCCCCCUUACACAACUUGGCUGUGGAAUUCCCAGUGGGACUUUCCCAUGAGUGGAGCUGAGGGGGUGCCUUAAUCCUGCAAAGGCCCCCAGAGUGCCCCGGAGUCAUUCCUGAAGCCUGGAACCACAGGACUGCAGGUGAUGCCUCAAACCCAGAGUCUGUUCUAAGGGACAAUGGCAAACUCCCCCCACUCAGGGAGGUACCUGGGUUUUCCUACCUGGCCUGAGCAUGUAUUAACCCAUCAGAUUGUGUGCUUUUUGGGGGGACCUUCACCACAAAGAAGACCAGCUGGAGAGGAUCAAGGGAGCAUCGUUGGGAUCCAUGGAGUGGUGACAUUUUCCUUAUUGUGUCCCUGUUAUUUUAUGUCCCCCCCACCUAUUUUCUAAUU
Molecule: long non-coding RNA, 2198 nt
Organism: Passer domesticus (house sparrow)
Lineage: Eukaryota; Metazoa; Chordata; Aves; Passeriformes; Passeridae
Exons: 3
Source: RefSeq, a predicted model, not a curated record